GACGAACGCUGGCGGCGUGCUUAACACAUGCAAGUCGAACGGAAAGGCCCUGCUUUUGUGGGGUGCUCGAGUGGCGAACGGGUGGGUAACACGUGAGUAACCUGCCCUUGACUUUGGGAUAACUUCACGAAACUGGGGCUAAUACCGGAUAGGAGCUCCUGCUGCAUGGUGGGGGUUGGAAAGUUUCGGCGGUUGGGGAUGGACUCGCGGCUUAUCAGCGUGUUGGUGGGGUAGUGGCUUACCAAGGCUUUGACGGGUAGCCGGCCUGAGAGGGUGACCGGCCACAUUGGGACUGCGAUACGGCGCAGAAUCCUACGGGAGGCAGCAGUGGGGAAUAUUGCGCAGUGGGGGGGAGCCUGAUGCAGCGACGCCGUGUGCGGGAUGACGGCCUUCGGGUUGUGAACCGCUUUCGCCUGUGACGAAGCGUGAGUGACGGUAGUGGGUAAAGAAGCACCGGCUAACUACGUG
This 468-nucleotide ribosomal RNA is filed under the name uncultured bacterium. RNAcentral describes it as "partial 16S ribosomal RNA". It matches the Rfam family "Bacterial small subunit ribosomal RNA", at positions 28 to 507 of the family's 1533-position model. The record is from RNAcentral.